GGCAGUGUAGCCCAAUGAAUAUGGCACUGAACUGGGAAUUGGGAGAUCUGGGGACAGUUCCCCGCUCUGCCA
RNAcentral lists this transfer RNA (72 nucleotides) under Chelonia mydas (Green sea turtle). It matches the Rfam family "tRNA". From Rfam's summary of the family: Transfer RNA (tRNA) molecules are approximately 80 nucleotides in length. Their secondary structure includes four short double-helical elements and three loops (D, anti-codon, and T loops). The record is from Rfam by way of RNAcentral. Lineage: Eukaryota; Metazoa; Chordata; Testudines; Cheloniidae.